AUUGAACGCUGGCGGCAUGCCUUACACAUGCAAGUCGAACGGCAGCACGGGAGCAAUCCUGGUGGCGAGUGGCGAACGGGUGAGUAAUAUAUCGGAACGUGCCCAGUCGUGGGGAUAACGUAGCGAAAGCUACGCUAAUACCGCAUACGAUCUAUGGAUGAAAGCGGGGGAUCGCAAGACCUCGCGCGAUUGGAGCGGCCGAUAUCAGAUUAGGUAGUUGGUGAGGUAAAGGCUCACCAAGCCGACGAUCUGUAGCUGGUCUGAGAGGACGACCAGCCACACUGGGACUGAGACACGGCCCAGACUCCUACGGGAGGCAGCAGUGGGGGAAUUUUGGACAAUGGGCGCAAGCCUGAUCCAGCAACUGCCGCGUGCAGGAUGAAGGCCUUC
This 390-nucleotide ribosomal RNA is filed under the name uncultured bacterium. RNAcentral's name for it is "bacterial SSU rRNA". It matches the Rfam family "Bacterial small subunit ribosomal RNA", at positions 30 to 419 of the family's 1533-position model. The record is from RNAcentral.